This is a long non-coding RNA of Olea europaea var. sylvestris, 974 nucleotides long. RefSeq lists it as uncharacterized. NCBI's taxonomy places the organism in Eukaryota, Viridiplantae, Streptophyta, Magnoliopsida, Lamiales, Oleaceae. The transcript has 2 exons. The record is from RefSeq and is a predicted model, not a curated record.
UUCUGCUAUUGCCUUUUGGUCAAGCUAAUGAGAUUGGCCUGAACUCUAUAUUUGCUUCUGUCUGCAACAUUUGUAGAGAAAUAUGGUUGUAAAUCAGGUUGUUGGUUUUCACACCACCCUGGCAGCCAACCAUGUUGUAAUGGCUUGUGGAGAGGAAUAAUGAAUCUGUGGAACAAUUGGCAGAACUUUCUGGAUUUUGGAUUGAUGUGCUGCAUGGAAUGCCUGGAAAGAGCAGAGCACUAAAAAUGUCAACCUCACAGAUGAAGACUAUAUGGUUGAUAAAUUUCGUUUCAGACGAACUGGGAGGAUAAGAAGGUCUCUAGAACAGCCACAGAUAGAAAAUUAGCAGUCAUGUCUCUAUUUAUGUUCCUGUCACUGGGUAAUGAGAAUUUGCUUGGUAGGUUAUUGAGCACCAAGACUCAAAAAAUUGUCUUUUUCAUUAUGAAUGUUGCUCGGGAAGAAUAAAUAUUUAAUUACACAGUGACUUUUUGAUGUGAAAGACUGGAGAGAAUGUGGGUCAUAUUUUGUUGCACUGCACAAUUGGUUUAGAACUUCGGAGACUUUAAUUCGGCCUGGUUGGAUUAUGCCACCUAUUUUUUGUAAGCAAUUGGAUUGAAGGUUUAUUCAAGGGUGAUGAAAGAAUGUUGAGAGGGGCAGGUCAUUUCUUGAUGUCGUCGUUACAGAAGGAGAGAAGCUGAAGGGUGUUUGAAGGUACUGAGAAUCUGUUGUGGAUGAUCAGUAGCACUUUUUUGUAUUUCUUUUUGCAGCUGUCAGUAUAUUUCAGUUUGCCUAUAUUCCUGGAUGGAUCCCUUUGCUAGUUUUCUUCAUAGUGAGGUACCUGGUAUACUAAUUAUUGUACCAUUUCGUGCACGGUUGUUCUGAAUGUUAUAUUUUCUCUAAUCUGGCUUGUCUUCAUGGACGAUUUGUAUUUUCUCUUUGAUGACAAUGUAUAUUAGAUGAAUUGAAUUUGUUCA